Molecule: ribosomal RNA, 864 nt
Filed under: uncultured bacterium
Lineage: Bacteria
Description: bacterial SSU rRNA
Rfam family: Bacterial small subunit ribosomal RNA
Source: RNAcentral
GUUUGAUCCUGGCUCAGAGCGAACGCUGGCGGCGUGCUUAACACAUGCAAGUCGAACGAGGUCUGUAGCAAUACAGAUACUCGUGGCGAACGGGUGCGUAACACGUGGAUAACCUUCCUUCAGGUGGGGAAUAACCCAGUGAAAAUUGGGCUAAUACCGCAUAACAUGACGAUGCCACAUGGUGUUGUCUUCAAAGGCGCAAGUCGCCAGAAGAGGGAUCCGCGGCCGAUUAGCUAGUUGGCGAGGUAAUGGCUCACCAAGGCAAUGAUCGGUAGCCGGACUGAGAGGUUGGCCGGCCACACUGGAACUGAGACACGGUCCAGACUCCUACGGGAGGCAGCAGUGGUGAAUCUUGCACAAUGGACGAAAGUCUGAUGCAGCAACGCCGCGUGGGGGAUGAAGCUUUUCGGAGUGUAAACCCCUUUCGACCCGGAAGAAAGCCCGCAAGGGUUUGACGGUACGGGUAUAAGAAGCCCCGGCUAACUACGUGCCAGCAGCCGCGGUAAAACGUAGGGGGCCAGCGUUGCUCGGAAUUACUGGGCGUAAAGGGUCCGUAGGCGGUGUGGCAAGUUGGUAGUGAAAUCUCUGGGCUUAACCCAGAGGCUGCUGCCAAAACUGCCAUGCUAGAGUGUGAGAGAGGCGAGUGGAAUUACGGGUGUAGCGGUGAAAUGCGUAGAUAUCCGUAGGAACAUCCGAGGCGAAGGCGGCUCGCUGGAUCACAACUGACGCUGAGGGACGAAAGCUAGGGGAGCAAACAGGAUUAGAUACCCUGGUAGUCCCAGCCCUAAACCAUCAGGACUUGGGGUGUGCCCUGUACGGGGCACGUCCCGUAGCUAACGCGUUAAGUCCUGCGCCUGGGGAGUA